Molecule: small nuclear RNA, 107 nt
Filed under: Balaenoptera musculus (blue whale)
Lineage: Eukaryota; Metazoa; Chordata; Mammalia; Artiodactyla; Balaenopteridae
Source: RNAcentral
GUACUCGCUUCAGCAGCACGUAUACUAAAAUUGGAAUGAUACAGAGAAGAUUAGCAUAGCCCUUGCACAAGGAUGACACGCAAAUUCGUGAAGCAUUCCAUAUUUUU